UGGGAUGUAGAUCAGUGGUAGAGCCAUUGCCUGGGAUGCAUUAGGCCCUGGGUUCAGUUCCCAGUACUACAC
RNAcentral lists this transfer RNA (72 nucleotides) under Ictidomys tridecemlineatus (thirteen-lined ground squirrel). Its description in RNAcentral is "Spermophilus tridecemlineatus (thirteen-lined ground squirrel) tRNA". It matches the Rfam family "tRNA". From Rfam's summary of the family: Transfer RNA (tRNA) molecules are approximately 80 nucleotides in length. The record is from Rfam by way of RNAcentral. Lineage: Eukaryota; Metazoa; Chordata; Mammalia; Rodentia; Sciuridae.